UCUGAUUUAUGAUAGGUU
This 18-nucleotide small nuclear RNA is filed under the name Arabidopsis thaliana (thale cress). RNAcentral describes it as "snRNA_00172". Lineage: Eukaryota; Viridiplantae; Streptophyta; Magnoliopsida; Brassicales; Brassicaceae. The record is from RNAcentral.